Molecule: ribosomal RNA, 253 nt
Filed under: uncultured bacterium
Lineage: Bacteria
Description: partial 16S ribosomal RNA
Rfam family: Bacterial small subunit ribosomal RNA
Source: RNAcentral
UACGGAGGGUGCAAGCGUUAUCCGGAUUCACUGGGUUUAAAGGGUGCGUAGGCGGGCAGGUAAGUCCGUGGUGAAAUCUCUGAGCUUAACUCAGAAACUGCCAUGGAUACUAUUUGUCUUGAAUAUUGCGGAGGUAAGCGGAAUAUGUCAUGUAGCGGUGAAAUGCUUAGAUAUGACAUAGAACACCAAUUGCGAAGGCAGCUUACUACACAGUUAUUGACGCUGAGGCACGAAAGCGUGGGGAUCAAACAGG